GUCUCACAGUGGGAGAAGUCACCAGGGGCAUCAGUGGGCAGACCCAGCUCCACCACAGCAGCACUCAUGUAGGACUUAGGUGUUGGCCAUGGCUGCAGCAAAUGCUCUCCUCCUAGCUUCGGUGGCCAGAGAGAUCAUCCAGCCUGGCCAGAAGAAGUGUCACCACAUCAGCAGAGCCACGGCCAAACAGAUGCUGGAGCGUGAGGUGUAUCUGCACCAGGAGUUGAUUAAUUUGCUGCAAGAGAUUGAGAAUAGCAAGAUUGCAGAGGAAGGCUGGUUCUUUUCUGGGUGGCUGUUUUGGACUGCUGUAAUUGCCCUGGUCCUGCUUGCUGUCAUCUGCUGGCUGGUCAGGCGAAAAAGGAAGCGUCAGGCGUCUCCUCAAUCAAUUAGAGUCUUCUGUCCUGAUCUCCCGGAAGACAUUGCUGAGAUUGAAAUUGGAUUAAGUGUUUAUGACCACAAUCGCACCAGGCGCAACAACUUGACCUUGGAUGCGCCCAGAUCUUAAGUUUGUCCAGGUUGUCUGGAUGACAUCCCUUGCUUCCAUCGUGUCAACUGCUUCAUUAAUGUUUCUUUGGUUCCAUCUAGAACUAAGGGAGUCACAUUAAAAUUUGGGAAAGCAAG
Molecule: long non-coding RNA, 621 nt
Organism: Passer domesticus (house sparrow)
Lineage: Eukaryota; Metazoa; Chordata; Aves; Passeriformes; Passeridae
Exons: 2
Source: RefSeq, a predicted model, not a curated record